ACGCACGUCCUAGACCCCAUAAACUCGAAACUGCCUGCCCCGACUCUCUCCCUGCACAACCGGCUCAUCCUCCCCUCUCUAGAGCUACCUGUUGCGUCAUCGUUCGUCGGAUCCGCGCCAUCACCACUCGUCCGCCAAGACUGCGAUCCAUUCCGAGCUUUGAGGGAUCAACGAUCAAGCGUUGGCGACCAAGUGGUCGGGCUCUUCGAGUUCCACAAGGUUGAAGACCCUGAGCAUCUGUUUGGUGAAGGCAAGUGUCCUCUGACCUAUUAUGUCCUACAUACUUAUAAUUCACCGUCCAACAUUACAUUAUUGAAACCUAAAGAUUGACAAUUCUGUAUUUCCUUAUCCUUAUUUACCUUUUGGGGUUAUCAUGGUUAGCUUUAUGCUAUUGCUUUACUUUAAUCAAUGAACAUGAUGUGAAUAUUUAUGAUAUGAUGAUGUUAUCCCAAUGAUGAUCUUGUGAUAUUUUAGGGGACUCAGGCUAUUUUCCUGAGUACCUCUCCGUAAGGACCUGUUCGUGGAGUGACAAUCCGGGAUAACAGUGCGGCCAUGAGGGUGGAAUGGGAUGCCCUUAGCUGAUUAAUUAGAGGAACCAGAGGAGUAGUUGGCUUCAUCGUAGGGCCGUCAAUGGGGUCCAGGCACAGUACUUGCUCUACCGAGGCUGAUUGCAGAGGUUCUUUGAUUUGGUUUUGGUUAGUCACCCUUUCUUUGGGGAGAGGUACAGUGUUUAUCAAACUGGACAAACCUAAUUGGUGGCUAUGACCUCUGGAAAAUCUUUGUAAAGUCUACGUAGUGAGACCCUGCUAGGUCACCUUGGAAGUGAUCAAUGGAGAGUCAUGAUCUCCUGGCAGAAUGGGGAUCACGACUUGUGGGGAAAGUGUGCGACCUCUCCAGAGGGUUAGAAACUGAUAUAUCAGUCGUGCUCACGGUUAUGAGCGGCCUUGGGAUCCUAUUUGAUUAGAGAUACAGAUGGUUUGAUAUACAAUGGUUCUAUUUAUUAUUUUGGUUCGAUGAUGAUAAUGAUGUUCCUCGAUGAGGAAAGGAUUCAUGGGUUGGUUAUAUUAUAAAACUUGGCUUCCACUAAUAAUAAAUACCUGACCAACUAAAAGCAACUGCUUUGACCUUAACCCCCACAUAAAGCUAGUCCACUUCAGCCAAACGAGACAUUUGCUGAGUACGUUGAUGUGUACUCACCCUUGCUUUCACAAAACACCAGGUUGCCUUUGGUGCAAUCUAUGCUCACGUAAAUAAGAAGGCAUCUCUCCAGGAGUUCCAGGACAUCAGCGAGAUCGAGGAUUAGCCUAGCGACCUCCCCCAGUCAGCUGCCUGUGGUGGGUUUAUUUACGUUGGCUACGUUUCGAUUCUGUGUACUUUGAUUUAUAUUAUAUAAAUGCUCUAGUCUUUAAUAUUAUAACUUACUCUUCCUUGUUA
This is a long non-coding RNA of Zea mays, 1434 nucleotides long. RefSeq lists it as uncharacterized. Lineage: Eukaryota; Viridiplantae; Streptophyta; Magnoliopsida; Poales; Poaceae. The transcript is spliced from 2 exons. The record is from RefSeq and is a predicted model, not a curated record.